UUUAAUUAGAGUUUGAUCCUAGCUCAGGAUGAAUGCUGGCGGCGUGGAUGAGGCAUGCAAGUCGAAUGGGUUUAGACCCAUGGCAGACGAGGUAGGAACACGUAGGUACGUACCCCAGAGUCAGGGAUAACCCGGCGAAAGUCGGAAUAACACUUGAUGGUCUCGAAAGAGUAAAGAUUUAUCGCUUUGGGAACGGCCUGCGGGCUAUCAGCUUGUUGGUAA
Molecule: non-coding RNA, 222 nt
Organism: Candidatus Kaiserbacteria bacterium
Lineage: Bacteria; Candidatus Kaiseribacteriota
Source: Rfam